GCCCCCGUAGCUCAGUAUGGAUAGAGCAGCAGUUUCCUAAACUGUUGGUCGGAGGUUCGACUCCUCUCGGGGGUACAA
RNAcentral lists this transfer RNA (78 nucleotides) under Chlorobiaceae bacterium. RNAcentral's name for it is "tRNA-Arg". It matches the Rfam family "tRNA". From Rfam's summary of the family: Transfer RNA (tRNA) molecules are approximately 80 nucleotides in length. Their secondary structure includes four short double-helical elements and three loops (D, anti-codon, and T loops). Further hydrogen bonds mediate the characteristic L-shaped molecular structure. tRNAs have two regions of fundamental functional importance: the anti-codon, which is responsible for specific mRNA codon recognition, and the 3' end, to which the tRNAs corresponding amino acid is attached (by aminoacyl-tRNA synthetases). tRNAs cope with the degeneracy of the genetic code in two manners: having more than one tRNA (with a specific anti-codon) for a particular amino acid; and 'wobble' base-pairing, i.e. permitting non-standard base-pairing at the 3rd anti-codon position. Lineage: Bacteria; Pseudomonadati; Chlorobiota; Chlorobiia; Chlorobiales; Chlorobiaceae. The record is from RNAcentral.